This 314-nucleotide ribosomal RNA is filed under the name Burkholderiales bacterium. Its description in RNAcentral is "partial 23S ribosomal RNA". It matches the Rfam family "Bacterial large subunit ribosomal RNA", at positions 2616 to 2925 of the family's 2925-position model. The record is from RNAcentral. Lineage: Bacteria; Pseudomonadati; Pseudomonadota; Betaproteobacteria; Burkholderiales.
ACGUCGUGAGACAGUUUGGUCCCUAUCUUCCGUGGGCGCUGCAGAUUUGAGGAAGCCUGCUCCUAGUACGAGAGGACCGGAGUGGACACACCUCUGGUGUAUCGGUUGUCACGCCAGUGGCAUUGCCGAGUAGCUAAGUGUGGAAGAGAUAACCGCUGAAAGCAUCUAAGCGGGAAACUCGUUUCAAGAUGAGAUCUGCCGGGGCCUUGAGCCCCCUAAAGAGUCGUUCAAGACCAGGACGUUGAUAGGUCAGGUGUGGAAGCGCAGCAAUGCGUUAAGCUAACUGAUACUAAUUGCUCGUGCGGCUUGACCCU